UACGGAGGGUGCAAGCGUUAUCCGGAUUCACUGGGUUUAAAGGGUGCGUAGGUGGGUUGGUAAGUCAGUGGUGAAAUCUCCGGGCUUAACCUGGAAACUGCCAUUGAUACUAUCAAUCUUGAAUACCUUGGGGGUGAGCGGAAUAUGUCAUGUAGCGGUGAAAUGCUUAGAUAUGACAUAGAACACCAAUUGCGAAGGCAGCUCACUACACGGUCAUUGACACUGAGGCACGAAAGCGUGGGGAUCAAACAGG
Molecule: ribosomal RNA, 253 nt
Filed under: uncultured bacterium
Lineage: Bacteria
Description: partial 16S ribosomal RNA
Rfam family: Bacterial small subunit ribosomal RNA
Source: RNAcentral